GACGAACGCUGGCGGCGGGCUUAACACAUGCAAGUCGAACGGAAAGGCCCUGCUUGUGUGGGGUGCUCGAGUGGCGAACGGGUGAGUAACACGUGAGUAACCUGCCCUUGACUUUGGGAUAACUUCAGGAAACUGGGGCUAAUACCGGAUAGGAGCUCCUGCUGCAUGGUGGGGGUUGGAACGUUUCGGCGGUUGGGGAUGGACUCGCGGCUUAUCAGCUUGUUGGUGGGGUAGUGGGUUACCAAGGCAUUGGCGGGUAGCCGGCCAGAGAGGGUGACCGGCCACAUUGGGACUGAGAGACGGCACCGACUCCUAAGGGAGGCAGCAGUGGGGAAUAUUGCACAAUGGGCGGAAGCCUGAUGCAGCAACGCCGCGUGCGGGAUGACGGCCUUCGGGUUGUAAACCGCUUUCGCCUGUGACGAAGCGUGAGUGAAGGUAAUGGGUAAAGAAGCACCGGCUAACUACGUG
RNAcentral lists this ribosomal RNA (468 nucleotides) under uncultured bacterium. Its description in RNAcentral is "partial 16S ribosomal RNA". It matches the Rfam family "Bacterial small subunit ribosomal RNA", at positions 28 to 507 of the family's 1533-position model. The record is from RNAcentral.